Molecule: ribosomal RNA, 245 nt
Filed under: uncultured bacterium
Lineage: Bacteria
Description: partial 16S ribosomal RNA
Rfam family: Bacterial small subunit ribosomal RNA
Source: RNAcentral
UAUGGUGCAAGCGUUAUCCGGAUUUACUGGGUGUAAAGGGAGCGCAGGCGGCACGCUAAGCCUGAUGUGAAAGCCCGCGGCCCAACCGCGGGACUGCAUUGGGAACUGGCGCGCUGGAGUACCGGAGGGGCAGGCGGAAUUCCUAGUGUAGCGGUGAAAUGCGUAGAUAUUAGGAGGAACACCAGUGGCGAAGGCGGCCUGCUGGACGGUAACUGACGCUGAGGCUCGAAAGCGUGGGGAGCAAA